GACGAACGCUGGCGGCGUGCUUAACACAUGCAAGUCGAACGGAAAGGCCCGGAUUUUGUUGCUUUCUCGAGUGCCGAACGCGUGAGUAACACGUGAGUAACCUGCCCUUGACUGUGUGAUAACUUCAGGAAACUCGGGCGAAUACCGGGUAGGAUCUCCUGCUGCAUGUGGGGGAUUGGAAAGUGUCGGCGGUUGGGGAUGGAUUCGCUGCUUAUGAGCUUGUUUGUGUGGUAGUUGCGUACCAAGGGUUUGACGGGUAGGCGGCCUGAGAGGGUGACCGGCCACAAUGGGACUGAGAUACGGACCAGAAUCCUACGGGAGGCAGCAGUCGGGAAUAUUGCACAAUGGGCGGACGCGAGAUGCAGAAACGUCGGGUGCGGGAUGCCGGGCUUCGGGUUGUAAACCGAUGUCGCAUGUGCUGAAGCGUGAGUGACGGUAAUGGGUAAAGAAGCAACGGCUAACUACGUG
RNAcentral lists this ribosomal RNA (468 nucleotides) under uncultured bacterium. RNAcentral's name for it is "partial 16S ribosomal RNA". It matches the Rfam family "Bacterial small subunit ribosomal RNA", at positions 28 to 507 of the family's 1533-position model. The record is from RNAcentral.